AUGCAAGUCGAGGGGCAGCAUAGAAAUAGCUUGCUAUUUUGGUGGCGACCGGCGCACGGGUGCGUAACGCGUAUGCAACCUACCCUAUACUGGGGGAUAUCCCGGAGAAAUUCGGACUAACACCCCAUGGUGUUAAUGAGUGGCAUCACUUGUUAAUUAAAGGUUACGGUAUAGGAUGGGCAUGCGUCCCAUUAGCUAGUUGGUGUGGUAACGGCACACCAAGGCAACGAUGGGUAGGGGGCCUGAGAGGGUGAUCCCCCACACUGGUACUGAGACACGGACCAGACUCCUACGGGAGGCAGCAGUGAGGAAUAUUGGUCAAUGGGCGCAAGCCUGAACCAGCCAUGCCGCGUGCAGGAAGACGGUCCUAUGGAUUGUAAACUGCUUUUAUUCGGGGAUAAACCUCUUUACGUGUAGAGAGCUGAAGGUACCGAAAGAAUAAGCACCGGCUAACUCCGUGCCAGCAACCGCGGUAAUACGGAGGGUGCAAGCGUUAUCCGGAAUCAUUGGGUUUAAAGGGUCCGCAGGCGGGAUUGUAAGUCAGUGGUGAAAUCCGGCAGCUCAACUGUCGCACUGCCAUUGAUACUGCAGUCCUUGAAUUUGAUUGGAGUGGGCGGAAUAUGUCAUGUAGCGGUGAAAUGCUUAGAUAUGACAUAGAACACCGAUAGCGAAGGCAGCUCACUAAGUCUGAAUUGACGCUCAUGGACGAAAGCGCGGGUAGCAAACAGGAUUAGAUACCCUGGUAGUCCGCGCCGUAAACGAUGAUUACUCGUUGUCGGCUCUUCGGAGUCGGUGACCAAGCGAAAGUGAUAAGUAAUCCACCUGGGGAGUACGCUCGCAAGGGUGAAACUCAAAGGAAUUGACGGGGGCCCGCACAAGCGGUGGAGCAUGUGGUUUAAUUCGAGC
RNAcentral lists this ribosomal RNA (906 nucleotides) under Fluviicola sp. enrichment culture. Its description in RNAcentral is "bacterial SSU rRNA". It matches the Rfam family "Bacterial small subunit ribosomal RNA", at positions 55 to 956 of the family's 1533-position model. The record is from RNAcentral. Lineage: Bacteria; Pseudomonadati; Bacteroidota; Flavobacteriia; Flavobacteriales; Crocinitomicaceae.